This 101-nucleotide small nuclear RNA is filed under the name Sciurus vulgaris (Eurasian red squirrel). Lineage: Eukaryota; Metazoa; Chordata; Mammalia; Rodentia; Sciuridae. The record is from RNAcentral.
GUGCUUGCUUUGGCAGCACAUAUACUAAAAUUGGAACAAUACAGAUUAGCAUGGCCCCUACGCAUGAGGACAAGUAAAUUCGUGAAGUGUUUCAUAUUUUA